GAUGAAGAACGUAGCGAAAUGCGAUAAGUAAUGUGAAUUGCAGAAUUCAGUGAAUCAUCGAAUCUUUGAACGCACAUUGCGCCCGCCAGUAUUCUGGCGGGCAUGCCUGUCCGAGCGUCAUUUCAACCAUCAAGCCCCGGGCUUGUGUUGGGGACCUGCGUCCGACGCAGGCCCCGAAAACCAAUGGCGGGCUCGCUGUCCACACCGAGCGUAGUAGCUAACCUCGCUCCGGAGUGGCGCGGGCGCCUGCCGUAAAACCCCCCAAUUUUACAAGGUUGACCUCGGAUCAGGUAGGAAUACCCGCUGAACUUAAGCAUAUCAAUAAGCGGAGGA
Molecule: unclassified non-coding RNA, 333 nt
Filed under: soil metagenome
Description: partial contains 5.8S ribosomal RNA, internal transcribed spacer 2, and large subunit ribosomal RNA
Rfam family: 5.8S ribosomal RNA (bases 1-120)
Source: RNAcentral